Non-coding RNA from Phalacrocorax carbo (great cormorant), 2286 nucleotides. The record is from RefSeq and is a predicted model, not a curated record. NCBI's taxonomy places the organism in Eukaryota, Metazoa, Chordata, Aves, Suliformes, Phalacrocoracidae.
GUCAAGGCUGUCAAUGUCAUCAUUGUUACAGAAUAUGUGCAGGCCCUCCUGACCACUUCCAGGAAACCAUCUUCUGUGCAGAGGAGGAGGAUUGUCAGCAAGAUGGAAGAAGAUCAUAGGAUGCUGCAAACUGUCUUUAAAGAGUGCUUAGGUCCUGCAGCUGGUCCCCUUAAGGAUCCUAUAAAAGCAAUUUUAGAACUUAUUCAGACUUCUGAUGCUGAGGGGAUGAAAAUAGCCCUGCUGCCCAUUCUCAAAGAAUUUCCUGAUCUAAGGAAGGAACAUCUGAGUGCAGUGCUGGACAUCAAAGGUUCACUCAGCCGAGAAGACAGAGCUGCUCUCUUGAAGGCAUUUCACGAUAACUGCAGGGAAUCAGAAACAGAAGCAAACUUGCUUUUUGCAGAUAUAGAAGUAAAAUCUAGAAAAUAUGGACUCUGUGGCUGCUUCUGCUGUUAGAAAAGGCCUGCUAUGAGAAACUUGAGGUCUGGCUCCCACGUGGCAGCAUCUGAAAUCACAGCUCCUUGAAAGCUUCAGGGACCUGUGCAGCUGGAUGCACAGAGAAGCCUGACAGCUAUGGAAGACACAAUUCCUGUGCUUUUGCAGGAAAACCACGUGGCCCAAAUCCUAAUCUUCUAUGUGAAGUCCAGGUGCAAGAUGAAUGGGAUAUGGCAGAAAGACAUUCCUUCAAAAUUUCCUAGAGAUUGCUGCCUAGCUGAGUCCUGGUGGUUAUUCCCAGGAUGCGGCACAUGUGGAGGAGGAAGAAGGUUCCCCCUCACCAAAUUUCUCUCUGCUUCCAUCCCUUGUUUCAUGCAGCCUCACAGGAAACAACAGACUGCUGCACCACAUGGUGUUUUAGCAGAUGACACGGCAUCACAACCUCUCCCAGGGACCCAGGACCCUCCAUUAGGGAAUCCUGCCUAGCCCACGGUGCUGGUGGGUGCCUCCAGGUUUGGGCACCUGGAUCCAGCCCCCAAAGCCUGACCUUUACCAGGAGGGGUGCACACAGAGCUGCCUCUUCCCUCGUUCCCCACACACGAAGUCUGUGACCUGCUUUGUGGGUAGCCUGCUGUGGUACUGACUGUGGGAUGUGGAGCUCUUCCCAUAUAAGUUUUACAGCUGGCUCUGGAGCCUUGCAUUCAUUUUUAUACCUCAGUUACUGGAAAUUUCCUCUUGGAGAGGGAGGGGAAAGUCUCAUGGGAAGCAGGCAGUGAAUGGAGCUGUUUGUCCCAGCCUCUGGGCAAGGUCUGUGCUGUUUUCAGAUGUAAAUAGGCAGUUCCGCAGGGAAAACAUUGACUUUUCUUCCCAGUUAUCUAUGGACCGGUCACAACCUCCUAGCUGGAUUUCGUUCAAGGCCCUCCUUUGGUAUUGUGUUAAUAUAGGCCAUUGCCAUUCCUUUCUGGCUGUAUAAACAAGCAAAAAAGGCUCUGCUACCUCAGACGUGCCAGUGCUUUUCUGAGUGGCCAUUCCCCCUCGAAUCUGCUUCCCUAACAAGAAAAGAGGAAAAUUUGUGCAUAACCCAUCAGUGUGUAAAGGUGGGGACUUGUCUGGCCCUGGGACCCUGAGAAAGCACAGACCUGGGUGGGUGCUGCCGUGCUCUGCAGUGCCGUGCUGUCGCUCCAAGGGUGCGGGUGUCCUGGCUUAGGGGCAGCUGCUCUGCCUAGAGCCCGUUGUGCAGAUGGGGUCCUGUGAGCUUGACAGGAGCCGGGGCGGGUUUAUAAUUGUUGUGAGCUUUGCUCCUGGCACAGUGCUGAGUGUGGGGCAAGUGGCAGGGAAGCGGGAAGGAACAGGCUGCUCUGUCUCCGGGGAGUCCUCUCUGAGGUUUCAAGGCACCAUGAGACCUCGGCGUCGUUGCACUCUGUCCCUCACAUCAUUAAAGGGCAAGGAGAGUGUCCUGUGGCCUGCCUGCCCUUCCUGACCACACAUCUUCUUCAAGGGCCCUGUCCCUGUGUCCCUUGCAUUUUAUAGCUGUCCACUGCAGCUUUGGUGAGAACUUUCCUGGGACUUGGGAAGGCUGGGGGAGCUGGACAAGCUGCAGCCUGGCCAGGUGGGCACGGGUCGGGUGGGCUGUGGGGCUGGGUGGACACCUGCCCUCCGAAGGGUGCCAGCCCUGCCAGGCAUGCUGGGCCAGUCACCCUCCCCUCCCGCCUAAUUGCACCUUUUUUUCAAGGGCGGGAAGGGAUGACAGACGACUGCAACAGCAGGGGCAGAAUCAGCCUCUGCCAAUGGGGAUUUCAAGCAACAAGUCUUCCAGAGAAAAUAAAUAAAAAUCCCUCUGACAUUUCGAUUACC